UUUAUGGAGAGUUUGAUCCUGGCUCAGAGUGAACGCUGGCGGCGUGCCUAAUACAUGCAAGUCGAACGGACAAGUAAGAGCUUGCUCUUAUGAGUUAGUGGCGCACGGGUGAGUAAUGUAUAGUUAAUCUGCCCUACACUGGAGGACAACAGUUAGAAAUGACUGCUAAUACUCCAUACUCCUUCUUAACACAAGUUAAGUCGGGAAAGUUUUUUCGGUGUAGGAUGAGACUAUAUUGUAUCAGCUAGUUGGUGAGGUAAUGGCUCACCAAGGCUAUGACGCAUAACUGGUCUGAGAGGAUGAUCAGUCACACUGGAACUGAGACACGGUCCAGACUCCUACGGGAGGCAGCAGUAGGGAAUAUUGCUCAAUGGGGGAAACCCUGAAGCAGCAACGCCGCGUGGAGGAUGACACUUUUCGGAGCGUAAACUCCUUUUGUUAGGGAAGAACAAUGACGGUACCUAACGAAUAAGCACCGGCUAACUCCGUGCCAGCAGCCGCGGUAAUACGGAGGGUGCAAGCGUUACUCGGAAUCACUGGGCGUAAAGGACGCGUAGGCGGAUUAUCAAGUCUUUUGUGAAAUCUAAUGGCUCAACCAUUAAACUGCUUGAGAAACUGAUAAUCUAGAGUGAGGGAGAGGCAGAUGGAAUUGGUGGUGUAGGGGUAAAAUCCGUAGAGAUCACCAGGAAUACCCAUUGCGAAGGCGAUCUGCUGGAACUUAACUGACGCUAAUGCGUGAAAGCGUGGGGAGCAAACAGGAUUAGAUACCCUGGUAGUCCACGCCCUAAACGAUGUAUACUAGUUGUUGCUGUGCUAGUCAUGGCAGUAAUGCACCUAACGGAUUAAGUAUACCGCCUGGGGAGUACGGUCGCAAGAUUAAAACUCAAAGGAAUAGACGGGGACCCGCACAAGCGGUGGAGCAUGUGGUUUAAUUCGAAGAUACGCGAAGAACCUUACCUGGGCUUGAUAUCCUAAGAACCUUGUAGAGAUACGAGGGUGCUAGCUUGCUAGAACUUAGUGACAGGUGCUGCACGGCUGUCGUCAGCUCGUGUCGUGAGAUGUUCGGUUAAGUCCGGCAACGAGCGCAACCCACGUAUUUAGUUGCUAACAGUUCGGCUGAGCACUCUAAAUAUACUGCCUUCGUAAGGAGGAGGAAGGUGUGGACGACGUCAAGUCAUCAUGGCCCUUAUGCCCAGGGCGACACACGUGCUACAAUGGCAUAUACAAUGAGACGCAAUAUCGCGAGAUGGAGCAAAUCUAUAAAAUAUGUCCCAGUUCGGAUUGUUCUCUGCANNNNNNNNNNGAUCAGCCAUGCUACGGUGAAUACGUUCCCGGGUCUUGUACUCACCGCCCGUCACACCAUGGGAGUUGAUUUCACUCGAAGCCGGAAUACUAAACUAGUUACCGUCCACAGUGGAAUCAGCGACUGGGGUGAAGUCGUAACAAGGUAACCGUAGGAGAACCUGCGGUUGGAUCACCUCCUUU
This 1485-nucleotide ribosomal RNA is filed under the name Campylobacter vicugnae. RNAcentral describes it as "bacterial SSU rRNA". It matches the Rfam family "Bacterial small subunit ribosomal RNA". Lineage: Bacteria; Pseudomonadati; Campylobacterota; Epsilonproteobacteria; Campylobacterales; Campylobacteraceae. The record is from RNAcentral.